This 71-nucleotide transfer RNA is filed under the name Aspergillus clavatus NRRL 1. Its description in RNAcentral is "tRNA-Pro (CGG) (tRNA-Pro-CGG-1-1)". Lineage: Eukaryota; Fungi; Ascomycota; Eurotiomycetes; Eurotiales; Aspergillaceae. The record is from RNAcentral.
GCCUGAGUGGUCCAGGGGUACGAUUCGUCGUUCGGGUCGACGAGACCCGCGUUCGAAUCGCGGCUCAGGCC